This 377-nucleotide ribosomal RNA is filed under the name uncultured bacterium. RNAcentral's name for it is "bacterial SSU rRNA". It matches the Rfam family "Bacterial small subunit ribosomal RNA", at positions 521 to 896 of the family's 1533-position model. The record is from RNAcentral.
UAAUACGUAGGGUGCUAACGUUGUUCGGAAUUAUUGGGCGUAAAGCGCGUGUAGGUUGCCAAGUAAGUUGAAUGUGAAAGCCCUCGGCUUAACCGAGGAAGUGCAUUCAAAACUGCUCGGCUAGAGGAUGGUAGAGGAAGGUGGAAUUCCUAGUGUAGAGGUGAAAUUCGUAGAUAUUAGGAGGAAUACCUGUGGCGAAGGCGGCCUUCUGGGCCAUUCCUGACACUGAGACGCGAAAGCGUGGGUAGCAAACAGGAUUAGAUACCCUGGUAGUCCACGCCGUAAACGAUGAGUACUAGGUGUUGUGGGUAUUGACCCCCGCAGUGCCGACGCUAACGCAUUAAGUACUCCGCCUGGGAAGUACGGUCGCAAGAUUA